This 253-nucleotide ribosomal RNA is filed under the name uncultured bacterium. RNAcentral describes it as "partial 16S ribosomal RNA". It matches the Rfam family "Bacterial small subunit ribosomal RNA", at positions 524 to 776 of the family's 1533-position model. The record is from RNAcentral.
UACGGAGGGUGCAAGCGUUGUUCGGAAUCAUUGGGCGUAAAGCGCGUGUAGGCGGCUUGGCAAGUCAGUUGUGAAAGCCCGGGGCCCAACCCCGGAAUUGCAUCUGAAACUGCCUGGCUAGAGUUCCGGAGAGGAAGGCAGAAUUCCCGGUGUAGGGGUGAAAUCCGUAGAUAUCGGGAGGAAUACCAGCGGCGAAGGCGGCCUUCUGGACGGUGACUGACGCUGAGACGCGAAAGCGUGGGGAGCAAACAGG